GGGCCCCUCUCUACUCUGACUUUGCCCGGAGCUUCACUUUCUCCCAGCUGAGCAGCCCCAGUCAGGAGCAGCUGUUUUACACUUUCACAGUGAGGGCUGCAUUCUCCAAGGAUGGAGUCACAGAGCCCUGGAAGUGGGGAGGUUCCCUCCAGAGCACCAAGGGCGACCUUCAUUUGAAUUCAAUAACCGUUUUCCAGAGAACUGAACCAUUCAUAAGAGAAAGCAAGCAUUACUGAGUGAAGCAACAACAAAACUGACAGAGGGACAGCAGGGUGGAUGGGGAAGAUGAAAGGACGGACAGAUGGAUGGAUGGGCGGACAGACAGACCCCGAAGGUGGAUGGAGAAAGAAGUUUGCCGAAGGGGUCUUGACCCACAGGUUGAGAACCGCUGUCCUGGAGGCGUGCCUGAAGCCCAAUCCUAUGGAGGUAUUUUUCUCAGGAUCCAUUCACAUAAGUCCAGGAAUGCGCUGAGAUCAUGGUAUUUCAGUCCCAAAAUGAAGCUGGUGAGAUUGCCUGAGAAGGACUGAUCAGCCAAUGAGACAACGGCGUGCCUGUGUGUCAUGUUAAGAUGUGUUUCCAGAGGGCUGGAGAGUUCAAGUCCCAGCCCCCACAUCAGCCAGCUGGAGACCCCUGCAAACUCCAGUUCCAGUGGGACUGAUGUCUCCUGGCUUCUGUGGCACUGCCUUCACACGCGCAUAUGCACACAGGGACAUAAAUAAAAAUAAAAACUAAGUCUUAAGGAACUCCAGGUCUUCACUUCGUCCCUCAUGAGAGCCUCAGUAUUCUCAGAUCUUAACAGGCACAUCUGCCCCUCAGUGAGCCUGGACUAGCCCUGUUUAAACAA
Rattus norvegicus (Norway rat) is the source of this 844-nucleotide long non-coding RNA. RefSeq lists it as uncharacterized. The record is from RefSeq and is a predicted model, not a curated record. NCBI's taxonomy places the organism in Eukaryota, Metazoa, Chordata, Mammalia, Rodentia, Muridae.